UUAAUGUUUAUCAUCAUUUAGUAGAUGGUUGGCGUUAGCCAACAUAUAAUAAAAACAAACUAAAUGAUCCUUUUAUAGGUUUUUACUUUUUUAUUUUACAACACUUCAUUAAAAAUGUUUACUUUAAACUAAAAAAUGAUUAAAUUUUAAAAUUAAUUAUUCGGUUGAUGGAUAACUAGACUACAAUUUAAGUUUUGUAACGGUAUUACAACUAUAGAUAAUGUAUUCCACAGAUUACCAACAGUCAUGUGGUCAUCGUUGAGAAGAACUGUCGUGUACGCUCUCCCUGAUUGUUGCUUAUAUUAAUUAAUGUUAUUUUAAGUUAUUAUAACUAAGAAUCAUGGAUAAUGAAAAUGGAAGGCUUCCACCGGACUCACAUGAAUACCAUCAUACUUUGAUCUAAAAAUAAAUUAAGUAAUUGCGCCAUUAUACAGUAAUUGUCGAGUAUAGCUCAUUAUUGAAAAGUAAGUUAAUAAUAUAAUGUGUGUGUUAAAUUUAUAAUUAAAUGAUAAAUCUUCGUAUACUUAUAACGAUUCUGAGUAAAGACAAUAAGUCAGCAUGUAUGUUACCAAAUAUAUUUUAUGAUAUAUUUAUAUUGUCAUUAAAGUAAUUUAUUUUACCCGCUUUUACCAAAUAGAUUCACAUUCCUACCAGAAAUCUAGGGGUUUACUGUUCUAAUAGAUAAUGGUCGACAGAAAAAAAAACAUACAUCAUUGUAAAAUGAAUACAUUCAUAUUACUCUAUUUGAAAUCUAAAAUCUGAAAUUUAUAAAAUCUAUAAAUAAUAAAUAUUUUCAGAUGAUUUAAUAAUAUUAAUAAUUUUGAAAGGUAAAAUAGAUAUAAAACAAAUAUUUAUUACAUUUAAUUGUAUUAUAGAUACCUAAAUAAUGAAUAAUACCAAUAAAAUUUAAAAAUUUAAAAAGUAAAAUAUGCGGUAGGACACUCAUGUAGAUU
This is a long non-coding RNA of Aphis gossypii (cotton aphid), 953 nucleotides long. RefSeq lists it as uncharacterized. Lineage: Eukaryota; Metazoa; Arthropoda; Insecta; Hemiptera; Aphididae. The record is from RefSeq and is a predicted model, not a curated record. The transcript has 4 exons.